RNAcentral lists this ribosomal RNA (498 nucleotides) under uncultured bacterium. RNAcentral's name for it is "partial 16S ribosomal RNA". It matches the Rfam family "Bacterial small subunit ribosomal RNA", at positions 30 to 523 of the family's 1533-position model. The record is from RNAcentral.
AUUGAACGCUGGCGGCAUGCCUUACACAUGCAAGUCGAACGGUAACAGGUCUUCGGAUGCUGACGAGUGGCGAACGGGUGAGUAAUACAUCGGAACGUGCCUAGUAGUGGGGGAUAACUACUCGAAAGAGUGGCUAAUACCGCAUGAGAUCUACGGAUGAAAGCAGGGGAUCGCAAGACCUUGUGCUACUAGAGCGGCCGAUGGCAGAUUAGGUAGUUGGUGGGAUAAAAGCUUACCAAGCCGACGAUCUGUAGCUGGUCUGAGAGGACGAUCAGCCACACGGGGACUGAGACACGGCCCAGACUCCGGCGGGAGGCAGCAGGGGGGAAUUUUGGACAAUGGGCGAAGGCCUGAUCCGGCAAUGCCGCGUGCAGGAUGAAGGCCUUCGGGUUGUAAACUGCUUUUGUACGGAACGAAAAGCCCCGGGUUAAUACCCUGGGGUCAUGACGGUACCGUAAGAAUAAGCACCGGCUAACUACGUGCCAGCAGCCGCCGUAA